This 192-nucleotide ribosomal RNA is filed under the name Triticum aestivum (bread wheat). RNAcentral describes it as "partial small subunit ribosomal RNA". Lineage: Eukaryota; Viridiplantae; Streptophyta; Magnoliopsida; Poales; Poaceae. The record is from RNAcentral.
AUGUCUAGCUCAACUUCGGCCUCCCGCCAAUCAUGGCCACAGUACGGUCCAGUGCCAUUGACAAGAUGCCCCGAUUGCCCGCGCAUGGAGCCUCUAAAGCGUUUGACUUGUGUGAAGGAGAAAAAUGGCAACCGUGGGCGCGAGUUCGUCAAAUGCUUGACCAAGCCACAACCGGGGCAGGUUCUGGAGUAA